RNAcentral lists this ribosomal RNA (463 nucleotides) under uncultured bacterium. Its description in RNAcentral is "partial 16S ribosomal RNA". It matches the Rfam family "Bacterial small subunit ribosomal RNA", at positions 28 to 507 of the family's 1533-position model. The record is from RNAcentral.
GACGAACGCUGGCGGCGUGCUUAACACAUGCAAGUCGAGCGGAAAGGCCACUUCGGUGGUACUCGAGCGGCGAACGGGUGCGUAACACGUGAGUAAUCUGCCCCUCACUUUGGGAUAGCCACCGGAAACGGUGAUUAAUACCGGAUAUGACCAUAUGUCGCAUGGCGUGUGGUGGAAAGUUUUUCGGUGAGGGAUGUGCUCGCGGCCUAUCAGCUUGAUGGUGAGGUAAUGGCUCACCAUGGCUUCGACGGGUAGCCGGCCUGAGAGGGUGACCGGUCACACUGGGACUGAGACACGGCCCAGACUCCUACGGGACGCAGCAGUGGGGAAUAUUGGACAAUGGGCGGAAGCCUGAUCCAGCAACGCCGCGUGAGGGAUGACGGCCUUCGGGUUGUAAACCUCUUUCAGUACCGACGAAGCGCAAGUGACGGUAGGUACAGAAGAAGCACCGGCCAACUACGUG